This 69-nucleotide transfer RNA is filed under the name Blasticotoma sp. 'tegularis'. RNAcentral's name for it is "tRNA-Val". The record is from RNAcentral. Lineage: Eukaryota; Metazoa; Arthropoda; Insecta; Hymenoptera; Blasticotomidae.
CAAAUUAAAUUAAUUAAAUUAAAUUUUAUUUACAAUAAAAAAGUUAUUGUGGGAAUCAAUAUAAUUUGA